GCAAGUCGAGCGGUAACAGAGAGUAGCUUGCUACUUUGCUGACGAGCGGCGGACGGGUGAGUAAUGCCUAGAUAUCUGCCUAGUCGUGGGGGAUAACAGUUGGAAACGACUGCUAAUACCGCAUACGCCCUACGGGGGAAAGGAGGGGACCUUCGGGCCUUCUGCGAUUGGAUGUACCUAGGUGGGAUUAGCUAGUUGGUGAGGUAAUGGCUCACCAAGGCGACGAUCCCUAGCUGUUCUGAGAGGAUGAUC
This 252-nucleotide ribosomal RNA is filed under the name uncultured bacterium. RNAcentral's name for it is "partial 16S ribosomal RNA". It matches the Rfam family "Bacterial small subunit ribosomal RNA", at positions 57 to 305 of the family's 1533-position model. The record is from RNAcentral.